AAGGUCUGACCUGCUCAAUGAAANNUUUUAAAUGGCCGCGGUAUUUUGACCGUGCAAAGGUAGCAUAAUCAUUAGUUUUUUAAUUGAAAGCUGGUAUGAAAGGUCGAAUGAGAAAAAAUCUGUCUCUUGAAAAUUUUAUUAGAAUUUUAUUUUUAAGUAAAAAAGCUUAAAUAAUAUUUAAAGACGAGAAGACCCUUUAGAGUUUUAUAUAAAUUAGUAAUUUAAAAUUUUAGAAUUAAUUAUUUAGGUUAAAAAUUUAUAUUUAAUUGGGGUGAUUGAAAAAUUUAAUUAACUUUUUCUUAUAAAACCAUUGAUUUAUGAAUAGUUGAUCCGUUUUUAACGAUUAUAAGAAUAAAUUACCUAAGGGAUAACAGCGUUAUUUUUCUUGAGAGUUCAAAUCGAAAGAAAAGAUUGCGACCUCGAUGUUGGAUUAAAAUUAAAUUAUGGUGCAGUAGUCAUAAAUUUAAGUCUGUUCGACUUUUAAAAUUUUACAUG
This 495-nucleotide ribosomal RNA is filed under the name Carpophilus yuccae. RNAcentral describes it as "partial large subunit ribosomal RNA". It matches the Rfam family "Bacterial large subunit ribosomal RNA", at positions 1847 to 2602 of the family's 2925-position model. Lineage: Eukaryota; Metazoa; Arthropoda; Insecta; Coleoptera; Nitidulidae. The record is from RNAcentral.